UACGAAGGGUGCAAACGUUUGCUCGGAAUUAUUGGGCGUAAAGCGCACGUAGGCGGCUUAGCAAGUCGGAAGUGAAAGCCCUCGGCUCAACCAAGGAAGUGCUUUCGAAACUGCUGAGCUUGAGUACUUAAGAGGAUCGCGGAAUUCCCGGUGUAGAGGUGAAAUUCGUAGAUAUCGGGAGGAACACCAGUGGCGAAGGCGGCGAUCUGGGAAGAUACUGACGCUGAGGAGCGAAAGCGUGGGGAGCGAACAGG
This 254-nucleotide ribosomal RNA is filed under the name uncultured bacterium. RNAcentral describes it as "partial 16S ribosomal RNA". It matches the Rfam family "Bacterial small subunit ribosomal RNA", at positions 524 to 776 of the family's 1533-position model. The record is from RNAcentral.